This 271-nucleotide long non-coding RNA is filed under the name Nicotiana benthamiana. RNAcentral's name for it is "long non-coding RNA (NBEN_LNC019968)". Lineage: Eukaryota; Viridiplantae; Streptophyta; Magnoliopsida; Solanales; Solanaceae. The record is from RNAcentral.
UGAAAUAGGUUAAAUAGUCAUAUGCCUUUGGUUGUCACUGGUCUAAAGUCUCUUCGUCUUUUGAGUUGGUUUGAUAUCAUAUUAAUAUUAGCCUCUUGAUUCUGAAAUCCUAGUUUGAUGAUUCUUCAGUAAUGUGAUUUUUUAUGGUUUGUUGACCUUCGUCUCCUGAUCUUUAUUUGUUUAUUCCCUGAUGCUCUGAUUAGUUUUGUAGAUUUUUAUGCUAGUGAGUGUUUGAUUUUCACUUCAUAGUAACUUUGAUCUUUAGUACUUG